CCGUGACCAAACCAUGGACAAAAGACUGCCAACUGCCGUGGUUGUAGGAAGUGAAGAGCACCCCUGAGCCGUGACCAUACCAUCUUCUUCUCUGAGCCGCCCACACCAAAGCGAGAGAGACAGAGCUGCCCUUCAUCUCAGCUAAGAUGAGCAGCGUCAGGGUUGGAAAAAUGGAGAACGGCGGUGCAGCGCAGCGCGAGGAUUUCGUCGACCACCCAAAGUUCUCGGCGGUAGAUGUGGCAACAGGUGAAGUACCCAUGGAUCCCAUCUCCGCUAGAACCAAUAGCCAGAUACCUUCAGAUCACCCAUCAAUCGACGUGGAUCUUGUUGAAGACAGAACGACAGCAAACUAGUUACGCCGACCAUGCCGGGAAACGAUGGAUGGAUAAGACGGCAGAGAGCCAUGUGUUGCGCGGAGGUGGAUUUAUUCACCACAAAUACAUAAGGAACAUUUUUGUUGGCAGUCAUAUCACACACGACGUCAAAAGAUGUCCAAUGAUAGUAUUACCAGUGGCACACAAUCAUUCCUGGUCCACAUGCAUUUUGGACUUCCCAAGGAGGACAACAAUCCUCGACCCGAUGAUAAACAACGGAGACAGACUAGUACUCUAGUGAGCAUAAAAGUUAGCCGCGCACUAAUGGAUUGUAUUGCAGAGUUCUUCGAUGGACGGGCACCAAAGACAAAAGGAUGGUAGAAUUGGUUCCCCAAACUGACAACUGGACCUUGGGUCUGCAGCAGGGCUUCUAGCCGUGUAGUAGCACUUCACUUCGCAAGGUAGUGGAUGGGUACGAAAUUACAGAGGACUCUAUCGCCUCUAGGGGAUGAAAUCGACCAAUAUCGGAUGAUGCUUCUCUAUGAAGUUCUUGGGUUAGACAGUAACAUGGGACAGCUACCUGCUAAAUUCAAGUUAUGCCAGAAUGAACCUUGAAGAGAGGAAGCAACUGUUUGAUUUAAUAUAGCAUAACAUGAAAGCGAUGAUGAUAUCUGAACUACCAGAAAUAAUUCGUGCAAUCAAGGAGAUCCUAGAUGGCACACACUGUAUCUUUAUUCACCAUCAACGUUUAUGUCUUUUAUAUUUCUAGACUAAGGAAUUGUAAUGUGCUUGUCACAUCACUAGGAGCUGAUUUUAUUUAAGACUUCCAGACCGUAUGAAGAACCAUUUAAAUUUUUUG
Triticum urartu is the source of this 1173-nucleotide long non-coding RNA. RefSeq lists it as uncharacterized. The record is from RefSeq and is a predicted model, not a curated record. NCBI's taxonomy places the organism in Eukaryota, Viridiplantae, Streptophyta, Magnoliopsida, Poales, Poaceae.